This is a non-coding RNA of Lentinula aciculospora, 100 nucleotides long. The record is from the annotation of a GenBank genome assembly. Lineage: Eukaryota; Fungi; Basidiomycota; Agaricomycetes; Agaricales; Omphalotaceae.
GGGCACUUGGCACAGUUGGUAGCGCGCACGCUUCGCAAGAAAUGCUAAUGAUGAAUUUCAACGUUGCGUGAGGUCGGGAGUUCGACUCUCCCAGUGUCCA